This 341-nucleotide long non-coding RNA is filed under the name Dermacentor andersoni. Its description in RNAcentral is "uncharacterized LOC126519834". The record is from RNAcentral. Lineage: Eukaryota; Metazoa; Arthropoda; Arachnida; Ixodida; Ixodidae.
GUGGAGCUACCUUGCGUGCUGCCAGUUCCACCUGGGCCUGUACCGCGAGGCCGAAGCGUCGGUGCUGAAGGACCCCAAGAACCAGCUGCAGAGCCGGCUGCUCUUCCACCUGGCCCACAAGGCGGGAGACGAGAAGAGGCUCAUGGCGCUGCACCAGAGCCUGCAGGACAUACUCGAGGACCAGCUGUCGCUCGCAUCCAUUCACUACCUCAGAGCGCACUACCAGGAGGCCAUAGACAUCUACAAGCGCAUUCUCCUCGAAAACAGGGACUUCCUGGCGUUGAACGUGUACGUGGCCCUGUGCUACUACAAGCUCGACUACUACGAUGUAUCGCAGGUGG